Long non-coding RNA from Capra hircus (goat), 558 nucleotides. RefSeq lists it as uncharacterized. Lineage: Eukaryota; Metazoa; Chordata; Mammalia; Artiodactyla; Bovidae. The transcript has 3 exons. The record is from RefSeq and is a predicted model, not a curated record.
GUGAACCCCUUCCCCUCUUCUGGACUCACCUGUGCCAGGGGAGCAACCCCACCCCGAUGUUGCUUUGAGAUCCACAGUGGCAGGGGUGGGGUAAAGCCGGGGGGAAUAAGAGGGAGGAGCACCCUGUGUUAUAAUUAUAAUUAUCACACUUCGGAUCCUAUCGCACGAUUUCAGAGGAGCUCCUUUCCUUCCCACGGAUGCACCCCUCCUGGUCCAGGAAACCCCAGGAGAAACUGAGGCACAGUGGUGGGAAAGCAGGGUGAUCACAAGAAGGCUGCACACCUCAGCCAAACCGGUUGGAGUGGGUUGUGCUGAAAUUUUUGUUUGUGUCAAUGGGACUUGGAGGACCAAAGCUAUUUCCAGUAGAAGCUUCAAGAUCCCUCUUCCUGCUCCUCCCUGGGACUCUCUUCACCCACAGAAGGCUGGACAGUGACCCCGAUACUCUGGCAGCUUUUCUUCCACUGAAAAGCAACUUUGCUCCCCUCCAGCUGAAGCUUCACUGUGCCCAGUAUCAGGAUGACGGCGUCCUGCUUCCUAAGAGGUUUCCUGUAAACAUUG